GAUGAAGAACGUAGCGAAAUGCGAUAAGUAAUGUGAAUUGCAGAAUUCAGUGAAUCAUCGAAUCUUUGAACGCACAUUGCGCCCGCUAGUAUUCUGGCGGGCAUGCCUGUCCGAGCGUCAUUUCAACCCUCAAGCCCCCGGGCUUGGUGUUGGGGAUCGGCGAGCCUCCGCGCCCGCCGUCCCCUAAAUCUAGUGGCGGUUUCGCUGUAGCUUCCUCUGCGUAGUAGCACACCUCGCACUGGGAAACAGCGCGGCCACGCCGUUAAACCCCCAACUUCUGAACGUUUGACCUCGGAUCAGGUAGGAAUACCCGCUGAACUUAAGCAUAUCAAUAAGCGGAGGA
Molecule: unclassified non-coding RNA, 343 nt
Filed under: soil metagenome
Description: partial contains 5.8S ribosomal RNA, internal transcribed spacer 2, and large subunit ribosomal RNA
Rfam family: 5.8S ribosomal RNA (bases 1-120)
Source: RNAcentral